UUAACCCACACCACAUUAUUCAUACACAACAGAAGUUCACUCAGUCUCAGUGCUUUCAUUCAACCAUCAGCUACUCUCAUAUUUUCAUUCAUUUUAUAAAAACACAUUCAGCAGAAUUUGGAGUUAAUAUAUCGUGGACUUCAGUUAAGAUGGAGGAGAGGCAGAUGAUACUUAUAAUGAUCAUCACAGUUUCAGGCGUUUUUGCUGAUAGAAUUGGACCAAGAGAAGGAGACACUAAUAUAAUCAGAGAAGAAGGAGAGUCUGUGACACUGAGCUGCACAUAUGAAACAUCCAGCAAUGAUAUUUGGCUCUACUGGUACAAACAAUAUCCAAACAGAGAACCAGAAUAUAUACUGUAUAAAGGCGCUCGAUCACAGAGCAGUGAUGAGAAUAUACCAGAUGGGUUUCAGUCAACUACAUCCCAGACAUCCACUGAACUUAUUAUUGUAAAAGCAGCUCUGUCAGAUUCUGCUCUUUAUUACUGUGCACUUGUAGUAGCCCAGUGAUGCAAAAUACCAGAGAAGCUUUACAAAAACUUACAUGAAAUUAAUGCUUUGAAGAGUCUUUAAUCAAUCCGUAUCAAAACACAUCAUGUUUUUCUAAACCACAAACAGUGAAUGUGGUAACAGCUGUGAAUUUGGGAGGUUAAAAUGGUUGCAUAAGGGCAUGUGAAUAUAAUAUAGCAUGAAUCACAUGGUUUCACAUUAUCACUUCUCAGUUAAAUCCUUGCAAAACAACAACAACAAAACACAAAAAAACUUAUUUACAUUCAUGAUUAUGAAUUUUGUUCUUCAGGUGUCACUUUUAUGAAUGUCAUUACUAGUCUUAACGAUAAAAAGGAAGGAAAUCAUAAAAGUUUAAUAAAACCAUUACAUCACACAUUACAUCAUUACAAC
Molecule: long non-coding RNA, 896 nt
Organism: Carassius carassius (crucian carp)
Lineage: Eukaryota; Metazoa; Chordata; Actinopteri; Cypriniformes; Cyprinidae
Exons: 3
Source: RefSeq, a predicted model, not a curated record